RNAcentral lists this ribosomal RNA (468 nucleotides) under uncultured bacterium. RNAcentral describes it as "partial 16S ribosomal RNA". It matches the Rfam family "Bacterial small subunit ribosomal RNA", at positions 28 to 507 of the family's 1533-position model. The record is from RNAcentral.
GACGAACGCUGGCGGCGUGCUUAACACAUGCAAGUCGAACGGAAAGGCCAUGCUUUUGUGGGGUGCUCGAGUGCCGAACGGGUGAGUAACACGUGUGUAUCCUGUCCUUGUCUUUGGGAUAACUUCAGGAAACUGGGGCUCAUAUCGGAUAGGAGCUCCUGCUCCACGGGGGGCGUUGGAAAGUUUCGGCGGUUGGGGCUGGACUCGAGGCUUAUCCGCUUGUUGGUGGGGUAGUGGCUUACCAAGGCUUUGACGGGUAGCCGGCCUGAGAGGGGGACCAGCCACAAUGGUCCUAAGGUACGGACCAGUCGGCUACGUUAGGCAGUAGUGGGAAACAUGGCAGAAUGGGCGGAAGCCUGAGACAGCAGCGCCCGGUGCGGAAUAACGUCCUACGGGGGGAAAACCGCUUUCGCCGGAGACGAAGCGGUAGUGACGGUAAUGAAUAAAGAAGCACCGGCUAACUACGUG